UGGGGAAUAUUGCGCAAUGGGCGAAAGCCUGACGCAGCGACGCCGCGUGAAGGAAGAAGGCCCUCGGGUUGUAAACUUCUUUGUCAGGGACGAAGCAAGUGACGGUACCUGACGAAUAAGCCACGGCUAACUACGUGCCAGCAGCCGCGGUAAUACGUAGGUGGCAAGCGUUAUCCGGAUUUACUGGGUGUAAAGGGCGUGUAGGCGGGACUGCAAGUCAGAUGUGAAAUUUCAGGGCUCAACCUGAACCUGCAUUUGAAACUGUAGUUCUUGAGUGAUGGAGAGGCAGGCGGAAUUCCGUGUGUAGCGGUGAAAUGCGUAGAUAUACGGAGGAACACCAGUGGCGAAGGCGGCCUGCUGGACAUUAACUGACGCUGAGGCGCGAAAGCGUGGGGAGCAAACAGGAUUAGAUACC
RNAcentral lists this ribosomal RNA (415 nucleotides) under uncultured bacterium. RNAcentral describes it as "bacterial SSU rRNA". It matches the Rfam family "Bacterial small subunit ribosomal RNA", at positions 355 to 786 of the family's 1533-position model. The record is from RNAcentral.